This is a long non-coding RNA of Mauremys mutica (yellowpond turtle), 982 nucleotides long. RefSeq lists it as uncharacterized. Lineage: Eukaryota; Metazoa; Chordata; Testudines; Geoemydidae. The transcript has 3 exons. The record is from RefSeq and is a predicted model, not a curated record.
UCUGGGAAGACAUUUUACUCAUUUGGUUUCUUCUUUCUUAUAGUCUUCUUGUCCUGCUCUCAGGUGUUUACCACCUAUUAGAAUUUCACCUGUAUGGGUACUGUGUUUGAGAAAGUCCCAGGACUUGUCAGCUGGUAUAGGCCUCAUAAAAGACAGCUCUGUUCAGGGUUUGAAAGGGACUGCAGUUAAAAGCUAGGGCUAGGAUUUGGAGGCUGUGUAGGCAAACGGAAGGAGAGCCGGGGGAAGAAAAACCGAAAUGGAUUCAUUCUCUGUCCUGGAUGGAGGAGGAGAGGAGUCCCGUGAAAGCUUCCUUCAACUGCCUCUGUCCGGUGAAAAGUGAUCAACCCCCCGGGACUGAAUAGAACUCAAGAGGCCACGCGGACUUUCGCUUUACCCUGCCAAUCAAACAACACCCUGAUCUGGCAUGGACAUUAAGAAGGAUAAGCUUGGAGCGCCCAGUCACCGUGGUAACUGCCAGAAAAAUUCUCCUGAAGUUUGAAGAGGUCAGCUCACAGGGUCAACAACUCUGGCCUCUUUCUGAGCUGGGCCUGGCAGGCCCCAUCCUGCAGUUGGAGUGGUAGGCCAGGCCUAGCCCUGGGAGGUGGGCCAUUCCAGCUCUGAUAUAAAUUUUUUGAGUCAGUUCACGGCCUGGACUCUCCAGGUGGUCUCCAAAAUCGAUUGUGACCUUCUGACCCUGUCUAACGGAGGCAUAGCAUCCAACCUAAGUAAGGAUUUAGCCAGGAAUGACAGCUUUCCACUGAGUGUUAUUGGGGACAGUACAAACAAUUUUGGAAGCAAGGAGGUAGGUAUGAGGAGUAGAGGUCAUUAAAAGCAUAUUAAAAAACUAUUUUUUAAAAUAACCUUGUUGGUGAAAAGUUUUUAUUAGCAUUGAGUACCCCUGUUAUAAGCCUUUUCAGCAAAGCCCCUUUCCCCCCUCCCCAAUGCUAUUUUAUAUUAAAUAUUCUGAAUGUUAACAUGUGAA